GUCAAAUUAUUGGGAAGAAGGACCUCGUCUACGAAUGCAAUUGAAGCUUUUCCCAGUAGUUGGGGUCAGUACAUUUAAUAAAAGUGAGGUCAUUCGUAUCAGCGACAUUUUGCAAUAUUGGGAAAUCUCUGUAGUUGACCUUUUUGGACCUUAUGAGCUCCUUAGUUUCACUCUGGAGGGACCUUAUUCCUACUUAAAUCCUGAUAUUCAAGCUAAACAUAAAAACA
RNAcentral lists this unclassified non-coding RNA (227 nucleotides) under Hevea brasiliensis (rubber tree). The record is from RNAcentral. Lineage: Eukaryota; Viridiplantae; Streptophyta; Magnoliopsida; Malpighiales; Euphorbiaceae.